CUUGGAUGAAAUCCUUUUCAGCUCUUUUGGUCAAAUUGAGGAGCGUAACCAUUAAGGGCUCUACUUUUGAUUGGCGAAAACAGAUCUCAGCUGUGUUAAACCCACUCCACGCCUUAUCCCCUCCCUCUCUACGAUUUACGCUGCUGGGAGGAGCUGAGUUAGGGAGGGGGGAUACUUACUGCGCCACUCACCAAAAUGUGCUUGGGCACGCCUUGUCGGCGCGGCAGACCUGACAUAAGCCACGCUUACGCCACGCAGCUGGCAAGGUAUGAAAAUAGAGCCCUAAGUGUCAAAGUGGAAGAAUAAGGAAUCUCCUAUUACCACCUGAAUUGCAGGUUGUCCUCCCUCUCAUAACAUCAGCGUGUGUUUACAGACUGAUGUUUCCAGCUGACAGGGACAUGUUAAGAUUGUGAGACAUAAUGUGGCGAGCUGUGGAUAACCGUCGGUGUUGUAACCAAUAAUUUAGAUAAAGUAGAAGUAUAUAGCCAGCAGUCAUUGAUGAUAAAUGGCCGUAUUUAAAUCAAGAUGCUUCCUAGCUCAUUUUUUUCUGCCUCAUUGACAACACGUGUAAAUGUUUUAUGUUCAACGUCCUGCAUGCUGCAAUUUAUGAAGCUUAUCAUUAGACCAUAUGGUGGUGACUGGCCUGAAUUCCAAUGUCAUCUGUGUGCAUGCAUACUGCAUGUGUGGCUGUGCUUUUGCAAGCACUGAAUAGUAAUAAACAAAAUAUGCAAGUCCCAGAUUCCAUUUCAGACUUUUACAGGACUGGACAAAUGUCUCCUCAGUCCAUCUCUCAGAAUCUAUGGGUGUGACUGAUAAAAAGGAACAUUUUUGUUUAGUUGUAUGUGUGGCUGAUGGGACAGAGAAUGACUGUUAAUCACUGGCUUCUGGUUCCUGCCAUUAUUGCUGUUUGUCUGCGCUCCUCGCUCUGAGCUGCAUUAUACCACCUCAUUUAAAACAGCGAACACUUCUUACAUAAUUCUUUAGUUUUAUCGUUAAUUUGAAUGUUAAUUUUUUAUCUCAUUGCAUUUCAUGUGUUAUUUUUUGUUCCUUUGUGUUUGCUUUUGUGUUUUUUCAGCAUGCUGACUAUGAAUGUAUGCAUGGGUAUGAGUGUGUGUGCAUGAUGUGUACUUUAAGGCGUGAUCACUUGCAUAUUUAUGGCCCAUUUGAGUAGUUGUCAGCUUCUUCUUCUUGCACAGAAGCUGUUGGGCUGGCAGGUGGGGUAGUCGUUCCCCCGGUAAACGUCUCAUCGCUCCCCUUCACUCCCUUGUACAGCCAUGCACUCAGACGUCCUCUUAGAAGGAGUGUCGAUUUACAGAUGUGCAGUGUCGCCUUAGGACUUCUCCCCUUCCUUGCAGCUAGUCUUCCUCUCCUUCCUAGCUGGUAGCGAACUUAAUGGGCCAUAGAAGACUGAGCAAAAGGUAUUGAUAUUUUAUUAAAAUCCUGACUGAUUUGCUAAAUUUGAACCUCUACCUUUGCUAUGUCUGCAACGUUUCCACCAACUUUGAAAUAAAAUAACAAUAUUAGGGUGUUUUUAUUUUCUGUAAAUGACCGCUGGUGAACAAAAAGUGGCAGUUUAAUUCAGAGUGCAAUGAUAACAAAGACAUAGGAAGUUAAUUUUGUUUUUUAUACAACAGUUUACCAAUGGUUAAACAUAUGUUGGCUUUACACCAGAGGACUUUCGGAUCAUAACCCAUAUUUUAAUAUCAGGAGACCGCACUCAAAAGGACAGUUCAGACCAUUUUUUCACUGUUAUCCUCCUCUGAGCACACACUCAGAAUGAGACCACUAGAACAUUCAAUGCUGGUGUUCAUGAUUUCACAGAUCUUGUAGAAUCAUUCAGCCCAUGGUUGCACUUCGAAAGCUACCAAAAAUUUUAUGUUGAGUGCUUUCUUUCAUGUUAAUUAGUGCAUGAGCUGACAUCAUAAUUUAGUCAAGGCCCCUUAAAUUACAAAAUACAAACUGCUUUUUUUUUGUUUGUUUGUUUGUUUGUUUGUUUCAUGGCUGUGAGUUAUAAACACACUUGAUGAUGUGUCCCGGUUAGCUCCUCUCAUUGGUUAUUGUGGGUAAUUCUUCAGAGGCAUUUGGAGACUUUAUUUUUUUCCACCUUUAUUUUUUAUGUCGCUGUGAUUCAUCAGUAGAACCUAUGAUCUCCGGCUCAUUUAAAGGCAUUUUCAUUCACAAGGGACUUUGCAGUGACUAUUCAUGGAUGAAUGUGAGCAUAUAGAGGGCAGAGUACAAUACUGAUCCUUCUAUGUGUAUUACCAGGUGGAUUGCGAUGAAAAAGACAUAAAUAGGUGAAAGCUUACACAAUCAUUGUUUCAUACAUCUGGAUUUUUUUUUUUUUUUUAACAUACGCCAGUUCUAGGUUCUUGGCAUACACAUACUGCUAGACCUCUGGAGUACUGAUGCAAAAUUGAGCUUUGGUAAAAUCGUUGAAUUGAUGCUCCUUAAAGGAUUAUUUGGACAAACAAUAGAAUAGCUCAAAUUAGGAUAUGCCACCUUAAAGUUUAAAACAGCAAUUUGACUAUAAAUCUGUACUACAACUGUCUUGUCUGAGGCCAGCCUUAGAAACAUUUAAGCAACCAAUGUUUAUUCGAGUUUUUGAAUAAUAGCUUUCACAAUAAUCUCUGGACUUGGGCCCCAUUUAUAUGUACCUGGUUAUUUUUUAAAAGGGAGACAUUAACCAUCGUUUGCACCCUUCAAUUAGACGCAAACAGAGAAUUCGCCCCUGAAAAUGAUGCUUUUCAAAAACUCCAGCCAGAGUGGAGAUUUUGGAAAACUCUGUUUCCACGUUUGCUUGUAAACAGAGAAAAACUGAGAUUUUGGAAGCUGAUGGCAGAUUGUGGGCCAGAAAGAAGGAAGUGAUGUUCUUUCUUUCUUUCUUUCUUUCUUUCUUUCUUUCUUUCUUUCUUUCUUUCUUUCUUUCUUUCUGGACAUGGUUAAAAAAAAUGUAUAUUUAAAAAAAAACACACAAAACAACAGUUAAGAAUAAAAUAAAAUAAGUGCCUCACUUAGAAGCACAUCAAUCUCACUUAUCACAACAAAAUAAGAACAAAAACAAAACCAGAGUAUCCACAUGUCCAAAAAAGGGGUAAAAAGAAGUCAAAGACUUGUCUAGUCUUACCUCUCUGUUACUGAUCUCAUUUAACUUAACUUAAACACUAUAACUAAAUGUUUUUCUUAUGUUGUUGUUGUUGUUGUUGCUGCCAUGCAGGAUUCCGAUUGGCUUACAUGGGAUUAAACUUCUCGCUACUCUGCCACCUACAGGUUUGGCAUGCUCAUGACAGCAUACAUACAUGGGUUAGUGUAAACUUUUCUGAAAACGUAGUGGUGUGCACGUAGGUUUUUUUUUUUUUUUUUUUUUUUUUUUGUUUGUGAACAGAGCGGGUGAAAUGUUCGUUUCUGAAAAUAGCCGGGCAGGUGUAAACGUAAUCUUUAAUAUAUUGUACAGUCUUGUACAUCUGUCAGGCCACAUUAUGCCACUUUUGAUACAAAGUUUUUAGCAGCUUGACUUUGUUUGUUGGCUUGUCAGGUGAUCCUCAAAUCAGUGCUUCAUCAAGCUAAAUGAGGUGAGCCCAUGUUCCAAUCUACCACACACAAUAGAGCUGCUUUCAUGCAUGUAGAGAUGCUGAUUGAAGAGAAAAUUUGAAGUUGUUACUCUCUUUUUCCAAAGCUGUAUGUUCUACCCUCUCGUAACCUCUCAUCAAGUUAAAAUGAAUGUGCAAUCAAACAUUUACACACAGACUGACAAACACUUUAUUUCAUGGGUUGAAGACCUGGGAGCUUUCCUUUUCUCUAGGAUUUAAACAUCUGUUCAGGUUAAACUGAGGUGCUUCUCUGUUUGCUUCAAGAUGUUUCAAAGUUUUAGAAACAGACUGGACUUUGUAUACCUUUUAAUCAUUUUUGAAGCAGUUACUUUGGUGCGGGAUGUCGGAGUGUGAGGAUCUUCCUUCAUCAACAGAGACAACUAUUCUCUUGUGAUUGACCGAGUUCCUGGAACGGCUCACUCUUACUUCAUCAAUUAUUCAUUCUGCUGUGAACUCAGUUUGGCUGCAGAGUGCAUGACCUGUCUUGUGCAUGAGCCUGACUGCUGUAUAAUCUUGACCUGCUUCUGCUUAUCCUGGAGGAGCUUGGUUACCCUAUGGUGAAUGCUAGAUAUCUUGCUUUGCUGAGUCACAAAUCUGCUGAUAUCUUGAUGUUUUGAUGAACAGAUGAAAUAGAAAAAGCCUUUUUUUGUGUGUGUGUGCAGAGCUGUCCUGAUGUGGGAAGCUAUCACAAAAAAGGUAUGUUUAUGCUUUUCACUCCACUGAUGUAUCAGUAAAUGAUAGUAAAAGGAUAUGAAUACACAGAACAAAACAGACACACUGCACCACAUUCUAAUGUUUAAUGGAAGUAGGAGCAGAAAAAAAAAGUGUGUCAGUGUUUAGAGCUUCACCUGUAAAACUUUGCAUUGUGCAUUAAAAUCAACAACAGCUGUUUUAUGAAGUAAACGAUAAAAAACGGAUGAGCUUUUUUUGGUGUUCUUAAAUCAAUAGUAUAUCCAAAUAUAAAAUACUUUGUUUAAGCAGGGUACAAAUGUUAUUAUGCUGAUUUAAAAUCCCAAAUACUUGAUUUGAUUUUUUACAUUUUUUAAUCAGAUAUGCCAUUGUGUUUGAGAGCCCUAAGAACAGUUAAGUACACAUUCUGUGGAUUGUCACGAGUGUAGGACACUUAACCCGGACCUUUCUCUGCUGGCUGCACGAACCCAGCUGUGUGUAAAUGGGAUUGUUUGAAACUGAUGAGUGCUUUACAUGGAUAUGGUGUUAAUGGGUUAAUGUGAUACGUAAUAUAAGUGCUUUGAAUGAUCAGAUCCUAAAGUCUUUUAAUGGAAUCUGCUGUAGGGUUUUUGCAUGCCUAUUUUCUCAGCUAUAUUUCACCUGUUAGUUCUUCAAAGGCUGCAGACUCAGCAGUCAAUAUAGGAAGCAUGUCUUAAGCAACAUACCUUACAACCAAUCUGUUUUAUCUGGCUGACAGAUUGGGGAGCUGGAGGUGAUUCAAAACCAAGCCUUGGCUGUGGCUCUUUGGAUGGAGUGGCUUCUCCCUGGUCUGCCAAGCUAUCAUGAGAUCUACACAAGGGUCACCAGUGUUUGCUGUGGAUGCAGGGUCGUAGACGGCUACCUGAGUAAAGAUGUUUUGUUUGGUUUGGUGCUCUGUGAUAUGAGAAUGACUACAACGUUUUUUUUUUUUUUUUUUUUCUUUUACCAUGAGGAGGGAAAAUUAGGCUGGCAUUAUCAAGCCCAGAAAAAUACUCCGCAAGCUCUGUAUAUAUACUCCGUGCUCAUGUACGCUCUUCAUGAUUAUGUUUUCAAGGUUUAAUCGGACUGAACAUCAUUCUUUUAACUUUUCUUCUUUACAGUCCAGUCUCAAAUGAAUGGGAGCUCAUCUCCUUGUGCAUAUAUCCUAUAUACAUAUAGUCCAUGGUGAUGGGAAUCAGGGGUACUCUACCUUCAGUUGCAUCUCACAUGAAGAGCCCUGAAGAGCAAUUACAGCCUUUUUUUUCUUUUUUUUUUAAGAAGAGGCAUAAUGACUUGGAUUUUAAAGGGCUUGGUUUAGCAGCAGUGGUACUCCAGAAUAAAGCCAGUUUGUCUGAGACUCUUCUGAAGCUUUAUGGUAUCAGGGUUGACAGUUUUCAGAGGUAGGUUUUGGUCUGAACUUCUAUAGCAGAUGUAUUUCUGUGUUUGUUUGUAUCAUGAUAUAGAAUGGAUGAAUUGGACACUCAGCUUUUCAAGUGCAGGGAAAAAAAGCUGUGCUUUGAAAUGUUGUCAGUCAGAGGAUUCAGAUGCUGUUUAGCACAUAAGUUGUUAGAGGCUUUUUGCUAUUAUGAAAACAGGUUUGAGCAAUAGACUGUAAAUAGAAUUUUAUUUAUGUAUUUUUAAUGUAAUUUAUGUCUACUCAGAAAUAUAGUCAGUUCUAAAGUAAUAGUACUAUUUGUUGAGAAACUACCUAGAGACUUGAAGUAAAAGCUAGUCCAUCACUCUUAGUUUUCUCAUACCAACUCUGGUGUUUGGGUCAGUUUUUUAUUGCUGCUGCAAAGACCUUCCAGUUUGGUCAGUUUUUUUGCACCCCCAGUGGGGAACUUAAAAAAAAAAAUCUCAAUGGGGCUUAAAGUAGCACAAGUACUCUGCAAGUACAGGCUGAGCUGAUGAGGAUCUCCUGUGGGUAAUACACACACUACUGACCUUCAGAGAAACACAAAUAUAUUGAAAGGAGUGUUGGCCUUCAUUAGAGGGGACCUUUUAUGCUGAGCUGUACUUGAAUACUUAUUUUUAAUGUUACAAUGUUGGAUGUCCGUAUGUAACCUUGGCAGGGUUUCAUCACAUGGGAUUCACUCCCCAGAUGAAUUUUCUAACUUUUCUGAACAUCAAAGCAUGGCCUUAACCUGACUGACAUCAGGUUGUCAGUCAAAACAGUGCUAACAGACGAGCCCACCUAGAAGCUGAAAAGUCAAUUUCCCUGCACAUCUUUCUGCUCUUUCCUGAUUCAGUAUAUCUCUAAAAGUUGCUCUUAAGUGUUCCUCUGACUUGAAGGACAGUGACAGCUUUUUUUCUCUUCCAAAAGAUGUAAACACCACGAAACUAUUGGAAAACAGUAUAUUUUUGAGACAUUCAAAGCCACAACAGCUGUUUGUGUUCACUGAUGACCCCAUUGUAAACAAAGGCCAGUACAGGCUGGAUCUGCAAGUCCAUGCAGGUUGAGAACCACAAGAUGCAAGUAACAACAUAAUAGCAGGUGAUGUUGCAGUAUUUAACAUGUUAACACAGCAAAAUGGGCCCUGAUUACUGGCGUCCGAUGUUUAUUUUUAUUUUUUAUUUUUUUUUUUGGGAAAAGGAUAACUUAUGUGACAUUUUGUGACUGCAAAGCUGUUUAAAAAAGUAACACUCCAAGUUGUGUCUAUCUUUGUAUCAGCUGACAAGUAGCCAUAUUAAAGGAAUAUUCCAGCGUAAAAUUAAGUUAGGGUCAAACACACCAUAACUCCAAGUUAGACUUUAGUAACUUUAGUAACGACCGCAGGAUAGCAAUACACAGCAGUCUGAGGAGCCAUAAACAAAUCUCAACCAAAACGCCACUCUAUAGCCACAAAUAAUGCUCAGAACAGCACCUAACCUCAUCAACAGUACAUAUAGGGUCCCAGCCAUAGUACUAGUCACCAAACAUCUUUCGGUAGUUCCUCUGACUUAGCGUCUCGGUCUGAUUGCAUUCCCAUGAAGAAAUGAUCAUAAAUGUUCUUCCUUGAGCUGUGUCACCCGCAGUAGUCCGUAAUGGACUCACCCAAAGUCUUGCUACAAACAAGCGACUGCUUGAAAAGAAAGAUGUUUGAUGGCUAGUGCUAUGGCUGGGACCCUAUAUGUACUGUUGAUGAAGUUAGGUGCUGUUCUGAGCAUUAUUUGUGGCUAUAGAGUGGCUUUUUGGUUGAGGUUUGUUUAUGGCUCCUUAGACCGCUGUGUGUUGCUAUCUUGCGGUCGUUACUAAAGUUGGUAUAACUAGAGAAGCAAGAGAUCGACAAUCAACAUUCAUCUCUUGGGGAAGGGGGGUAACUUGGUGGUAACCUAUACUAAUUUUACGCUGGAAUAUCCCUUUAAAGCAUUUCAGACUGAGGCUGAAUAGUGCUGAAAUGAAGAAGGAAGUUUUCUUUUUGCUGUAAAUCAUGCACAGUUACUCUCAGAAAUACAGAAUUUUCAAAAGAACUAUAAAAAAAAAAACAGACAGAAACACAAUGAGAUGGUCAUGAGUGGGGAAUUUAUACAUUUUGAAGAAAACUGAUUGAUAGGAAGACAAAAGUAUGUGGUUUGACAAAUUGUGUAAAAACAAGCUCUGGGGUCUGCAGGUCUAAUCUGAAGGAUUGAAGGAUUUCUUUCUGUAAAUCCACUUACAGCAGGCUUAGUGACUGCAUCCAUCAAAUCUGCUGCAAUCCUUGAUGCAUCUUUUCUGCAGUUCUUCUAGCUCUGGGACAGAGAGAUGACAUCACCUCUUCGUUAUCAUUUAGAAACACCUCUGAUUGGCUAAUUGCAUCUUCAGCUAAGGGAAAAGCCAUUAACAAGCACCAUACUGUGCUUCCUUUUUUGCCACAUUUGUAGGAAGGGGUUUGGGAUCACGAUAAAGAGAACACUGAAAAUAGACGCUGUGAGCAUCGCAAAGAUCCUUUCUUGACUGAAAUGGAAGUGGAGCCAGAAACCGCAGUGACAAUUAUCUCAAAAUUGAGA
Molecule: non-coding RNA, 8240 nt
Organism: Xyrichtys novacula (pearly razorfish)
Lineage: Eukaryota; Metazoa; Chordata; Actinopteri; Labriformes; Labridae
Source: the annotation of a GenBank genome assembly